RNAcentral lists this ribosomal RNA (460 nucleotides) under uncultured bacterium. RNAcentral describes it as "partial 16S ribosomal RNA". It matches the Rfam family "Bacterial small subunit ribosomal RNA", at positions 338 to 795 of the family's 1533-position model. The record is from RNAcentral.
CCUACGGGAGGCAGCAGUGAGGAAUAUUGGUCAAUGGGCGGAAGCCUGAACCAGCCAAGUAGCGUGCAGGAUGACGGCCCUACGGGUUGUAAACUGCUUUUAUACGGUAAUAACGCGCCUUACGUGUAGGGCUUUGCAUGUACCUUAUGAAUAAGGACCGGCUAAUUCCGUGCCAGCAGCCGCGGUAAUACGGAGGGUCCGGGCGUUAUCCGGAUUUAUUGGGUUUAAAGGGAGCGUAGGCCGCAUGUCAAGCUUGCUGUGAAAUGUCCGGGCUCAACCCGGGCCUUGCAGCGCGAACUGGCGUGCUUGAGUCCGCGGAAGGCAGGCGGAAUUCGACGUGUAGCGGUGAAAUGCUUAGAUAUGACGAAGAACCCCGAUGGCGAAGGCAGCUCGCUGCAGCGGAACUGACGCUGAUGCUCGAAAGCGCGGGUAUCGAACAGGAUUAGAUACCCCAGUAGUC